UCUUGGUCUUCUGGCCUGGCGGCGAUCGUCGGCCAGUUUAUCCCUCGGAGUUGCACUGGCAGACACGCCGCUACUUUGUAGCGGGUUUCGGGCGGGCCACGCGUGCGGCGACAGGAACCCAACCCCGGCCGACCUUGGGCUCCAGGAAUUCGUUGUCUACGUCUGCGGAGGUGCGGCAGCCUCAGUUUUAAGCGCAGGAAGGCAAUAGAGGCUGUGCUCUGAACCUUUCCCUCACGAUGAUCUUCUGCCUGUUGACCAUCCUGGUGUCUUUCCCAUGUGGCCCUGUAUGGUUGGCAUGGUUCCUGUCUUUAGGACUUGUGAUCAAGUAUAUCUGAAAGUUUUUAGAAGAAAAGAUGUGUUGUAACCUCCCUGGAAAAAGAAGAGACCUUAUGAAGUACUGCUAACCACCUACAUAGUCAUCAAAAUAAAAUUCCUGAAUUUGUACAAGCCACAGGAAGCUAGAUUGAGAUCAUUAUAUGACAACUGGAAGGCCAAGGCUAUGGGUUACCUCAAAUUGAGGAAUUUUGGCACCUACUCACAGGCUCCAUGAGCAGAUGAAGUAGACAGCUUUACUCAGUAUCUCAGACCAAGAACUUCAUCUCCAUCUCCAACUAGCUGAAACAUCUUCCCUCCUCAACCUGGAAAAUUCUCUGACUUAGAAAUUUAAACAAAACCCUCCCCUUUCAUUGAAUCUCCAUUGUCUGGAGUUUGCUUGUUUUAAUCUAGCCUGUUCCUCCACUAUGGGCUCCCUUUCAAACUAUGCCCUGCUUCAACUAACCCUUACUGCUUUUUUGACAAUUCUAGUACAACCUCAGCACCUGCUUGCUCCAGUUUUCCGGACACUAUCUAUCUUGACUAAUCAGUCUAAUUGCUGGUUAUGUGAACAUCUAGAUAAUGCAGAACAACCCGAACUAGUUUUUGUUCCUGCCAGUGCAAGCACCUGGUGGACCUAUUCUGGACAAUGGAUGUAUGAAAGGGUGUGGUAUCCACAAGCAGAAGUACAGAAUCACUCUACUUCCUCCUAUCGUAAAGUGACUUGGCACUGGGAAGCCUCCAUGGAAGCUCAAGGUCUAUCCUUUGCUCAAGUAAGGUUAUUGGAGGGAAAUUUUUCUCUUUGCGUAGAAAAUAAAAAUGGCAGUGGACCCUUCCUAGGUAAUAUACCUAAACAAUACUGUAAUCAAAUACUAUGGUUUGAUUCUACAGAUGGCACCUUCAUGCCCUCUAUAGAUGUUACAAAUGAAUCCAGGAACGAUGAUGAUGAUACAAGUGUUUGCCUAGGCACUAGACAAUGUUCCUGGUUUGCAGGUUGCACAAACCGGACCUGGAACAGCUCAGCUGUUCCCUUGAUUGGUCUGCCCAAUACCCAAGACUACAAAUGGGUAGAUCGAAAUUCUGGAUUGACCUGGUCAGGUAAUGACACCUGUCUCUAUAGCUGCCAAAACCAAACCAAAGGCCUUCUGUACCAGCUAUUUCGCAACCUAUUUUGCUCUUAUGGCCUGACAGAGGCACAUGGGAAAUGGAGAUGUGCAGAUGCCAGCAUAACUAAUGACAAAGGUCAUGAUGGACACCGGACCCCCACCUGGUGGCUCACAGGUUCCAAUCUGACCUUGUCUGUGAACAACUCUGGCCUCUUUUUUUUGUGCGGCAAUGGGGUGUACAAAGGGUUUCCACCUAAAUGGUCUGGGCGAUGUGGACUUGGGUAUCUUGUACCUUCCCUCACCAGAUACCUCACCUUAAAUGCUAGCCAAAUUACAAACCUGAGAUCCUUCAUUCAUAAAGUAACACCGCAUAGAUGCACCCAAGGAGACACAGACAAUCCACCUCUGUAUUGCAACCCCAAGGACAAUUCAACAAUAAGGGCCCUUUUUCCAAGUUUGGGAACUUAUGAUUUAGAAAAGGCAAUUCUAAACAUUUCCAAAGCAAUGGAACAGGAAUUCAGUGCCACUAAGCAGACCUUGGAAGCACACCAAUCAAAAGUUAGCAGUUUAGCCUCUGCAUCCCGAAAGGAUCAUGUCUUGGAUAUACCGACCACCCAACGACAAACGGCUUGUGGAACUGUUGGCAAACAGUGUUGCCUCUAUAUAAAUUAUUCGGAAGAAAUAAAGUCUAAUAUACAGCGUCUCCACGAAGCAUCCGAGAACCUGAAGAAUGUACCGUUACUUGAUUGGCAAGGCAUAUUUGCAAAAGUGGGAGACUGGUUCAGAUCAUGGGGCUAUGUGCUUUUAAUUGUUCUUUUCUGCUUAUUCAUCUUUGUUUUAAUCUAUGUUCGUGUCUUUCGCAAAUCUCGCAGAUCCCUUAACUCCCAACCUCUGAACCUAGCCUUAUCUCCACAGCAAUCAGCACAGCUCCUUGUCAGUGAAACUUCAUGUCAAGUUUCAAAUAGGGCAAUGAAGGGACUAACAACCCAUCAAUAUGACACAAGUCUACUUUGAGAAUAUCUGAACAAACAGCAGCUGCAGACAAAAAGCCUUAGCUAAACUUUGAUGAGUAAAGCAGGUCUUACCGAGAAUUCAGCUGCCAAAACCCUCCUCUGAGUGUUCCUCUUAUAAGGGCACUUAGCACUAGGACCUCCCAAGGUAUUGUAAAUAAGCCUUAUCAGAACUUUUUGUAGUUUCAUUCUGAAGCCUUAAGACACACACCAUAAAGCUGAUCUGUAAACCCUUACCCCUUGCUGUUCAGAGAGCUACUCUUUGUAGUGUUCUUGCAUGCAUAUAUAAUAAAUGUUUUUUCUAUUGAUCUGUUAA
This 2744-nucleotide long non-coding RNA is filed under the name Homo sapiens (human). RNAcentral's name for it is "non-protein coding lnc-ERVMER34-1-1:3". The record is from RNAcentral. Lineage: Eukaryota; Metazoa; Chordata; Mammalia; Primates; Hominidae.